Molecule: long non-coding RNA, 240 nt
Filed under: Cicer arietinum (chickpea)
Lineage: Eukaryota; Viridiplantae; Streptophyta; Magnoliopsida; Fabales; Fabaceae
Description: long non-coding RNA (CARI_LNC003538)
Source: RNAcentral
ACAGAGUCGAUUUGGUCACAAUCUCAGAGUUCACUGUGUUUUCAAAAAGUUUAUUUCAAUCGAUUUGCCAAUCGAUUGUGUUCAAAACAGUGGCUCAGUUUUUUGAUGUCAAUCGAUUUGUCAAUCGAUUGGAUUCAAAACAGUGACUCAGUUUUAAUGUCAAUCGAUUUGCCAAUCGAUUUAAUUCAAAACAGUGACUCAGUUAUUUGAUGUCAAUCGACUUGUCAAUCGCUUUGGUAG